Molecule: non-coding RNA, 258 nt
Organism: Vicia faba (fava bean)
Lineage: Eukaryota; Viridiplantae; Streptophyta; Magnoliopsida; Fabales; Fabaceae
Source: the annotation of a GenBank genome assembly
AUGGGCCUUGCUGCAGGCGUGGUAAUCUUAGCAAGAGGGCUGAACGUCUCCUCAGAAUCCUGUCCAUAUUUCAUAGUGAACCUCUUUGCCACUAAGCGAGCACCGGGCCUACCUUUGUGGGUCUCUCAACUGUCUGGGAUUAGAAGAGCUCAAGGAUUAGGCCUCUGUCGCGCAGCUUGUCCACAGAAGUCUCAGUUCAACAUCUUAAUGAACCAGGCCGUUAAGGAUGUUGAGGGGACCCGUGAAGGUUAUAUUUGA